Molecule: ribosomal RNA, 497 nt
Filed under: uncultured bacterium
Lineage: Bacteria
Description: partial 16S ribosomal RNA
Rfam family: Bacterial small subunit ribosomal RNA
Source: RNAcentral
GAUGAACGCUGGCGGCGUGCCUAAUACAUGCAAGUCGAGCGAACGGACGAGAAGCUUGCUUCUCUGAUGUUAGCGGCGGACGUGUGAGUAACACGUGGAUAACCUACCUAUAAGACUGGGAUAACUUCGGGAAACCGGAUCUAAUACCGGAUAAUAUUUUGAACCGCAUGGUUCAAAAGUAAAAUACGGUCUUGCUGUCACUUAUAGAUGGAUCCGCGCUGCAUUAGCUAGUUGGUAAGGUAACGGCUUACCAAGGCAACGAUGCAUAGCCGACCUGGGAGGGGGACCGGCAACCCGGGACCUGAGCAACGGUCAGGCCUCCUACGGGAGGAGGAAGAAGGGAACCUCGGGAAAGGAGCGAAAGCCGAACGGGGAACGGCGGCGGGAGGGAGGAAGGUUUCCGGAUCGUAAAAUCCGGUGAUAGGGAAGAAACAGAUGGGUAAGGGAAUGUGCACAUUGUGACGGUAUCUAACCAGAAAGGGACGGCUAACUACGUG